Long non-coding RNA from Bombyx mori (domestic silkworm), 2398 nucleotides. RefSeq lists it as uncharacterized. The transcript is spliced from 3 exons. NCBI's taxonomy places the organism in Eukaryota, Metazoa, Arthropoda, Insecta, Lepidoptera, Bombycidae. The record is from RefSeq and is a predicted model, not a curated record.
GUUGACAGCAAUAUUUGCACAAUAUUUGUCUUCUGCUAAUUGUCUGCGAAAUACGUGAUACAGCUGCCGAUCGUUUUUGUUUUAAUCUGCGCGACUCCAUCUUUUUUGUUAUUGCGAAAGUUGUCGAAAAGUUAACUUAGUGGGGAAUGGCGUUAUGCCACAAAUCAUAAUUAAAACGAAAACAAUCAGCAGUGAGAAGUUUCACAUAAUCGUUAAAAUGCGACUUUUCACCCCAUAGAAGAAGUUUAAGCGAAUAAAGAACCAAAUAUAUAUGUAUAAAUGCCCUGUGGCUAUUCCAACGCCACUAAUCUUCCAGACGCUGUCUGGCCACAGAGGGGGACAGAGGUGGGGGCGGCAAGGACGGGUAACACGGAACCCGUCGAACCAGCAACCGUACCCGUCUCGCGAAAUACCACAACUCACAUACAAUUUUAUAUCGUAUUCCCUACCAAUUAAGGCUAAUCUCAUUUGCGUGAAUUGGAUGCGCCUUUCAAUGGUUCUAUUUCAUUUAUAAUGGAUUUCCAACUAAAAAGCACUCUGGAGGAUUGUUUGAAUAAUGUAUCGUAGUUGCUCGUGUAUUUGACAUAUAGGCUCUAUUUCCACGGACUCUAUUCUAACACAUAAACGCUAGCUUGUCUUCUAUUUUCGAUGCGUUUAAAGAUUAUAAUCUCGUGAAUAGAUUAGUGGUUGUUGUUACGUUUUUUUCAUUUACGACAGAGAAGACGUGUUUCGUCGAGUCUGGCGAUUCUCGGAAACGUGCUUUUGUCGUUCGACUACUUUUUUUUUUUAAACAGAAUUAAGUUGUAGUGAUUUAAUAGCCAUAAGCAAAGGAAUUCGUGAACUGAUUUUAUUUUACAAAGGUCGAGAUGGCUUUCAGAAUAAUUACUCGGAUUCGAAUGUGUUUGAUACACAAUUAACUUAAUAUUGAAAUAUAUUCGGUUAAAUUUUAAUUAAGUGGGUUUUUGUAAUAAACAUAGAUUUUCACUGCAUUAGGUGCGUAAUUAUUUAAGUUAAUUUAAUUUUAAUUAAAUCAAAGGCGAAAUAAAGUCGGGUUUAUGCUAUCAUCUCGUGAAAGCUCAGAAUGUAAUAUUAUAUCAUAGUCGUGUUAAAAUCGUUUAGAAGAUUCGAGAAAAUAAUUCGCUAAAUAUAAAGCACAAGUUUUAAAAUAUAAGUAUAAUAUAAACAUAAUAUUUGUAUGAUGUUAACAGUUACUGUGAUCACAAAAGACUCUUCUAUUCUUUCUUUGGUGACGACUUGACGAGGGUCUUACGGUCUGUCCGGGUAUCUGUGCGCUUCUAAUCUGAGUUAACUUUUACGCUAUCGAGAACGUUAAUAAACUCGCACUAAGCACACUGGAAGAUACAGGUAUGUGGUCUCCUUGACCCGACAGCUUUCCCAUCAUCUGUCAUUGGCAUUAUCCUCGGAUUUUCCUCUACUAUUCUAAUCGAUGUAAAUAGGCGGUUAAGUGCGAGUGCUUAUUUAUCAAUAAAACAAUUUUGUAAAUCGUUUUUAUCCUUAUUCAAAAUGUUAAUAAAAACGAAAUUAGUGAUUAACGAAAUUCGAUUGAAAAUUCAACAAUAGUUCAAUUAAAAAUCACAUUAACUGUUAGUCUUCGCGUUUUCAUGGCAUACAGACCUAACCCUACCCUUAUAUUACCCUACUUUCGUCUAGCUUCGUUUUGUUUUCCUUUUUUUCUUUUUUUACCUAUGCCGAUAGCUUUGAGAGGCUAUUUCAGCUUUACCCUAGCGUAUAGGUGAGCUCUCGAGGCUCAAACCGGAGUUGUUGCUAACAUUGGUCCUAGCAAGAGCAGUGCUUCGCAGAAGAUUGACUUCGGUAACGCGACCCACUGAGAAGAUCCGGCGAGAAACUCAGUAGGAAAGUUUCGUAAUUUCACGUGUUGGUCAUGCCAUCCCAUUUCUUGAAAUACUCGAAUGCAAUAGUUAUGCCUAUCAACCUAAUGGUUUCAAGAUCGACGGUGGUAUUGGCGUUGCGAUUAGCCCAUUGUGUUUUUCGCCGAAUCUGUAGAUUCGGUAGUAGAUUCAGCGAAGCACUGCUCUUGCUAGGGCUAGUGUUAGCAAAUUCUGUCAGGCUGAGCCCGUGAGCUUACCUAACCUUCCGGGCGUAGCUGGAAUAGCCCCCCAUAGCCCCCCCGGGGCUACCAACGAAUACGUAGGGAGAAAUAAUUUUGCGAAUGCAAACUGUAUAUUAUUUAUUAGAGUUACAUAUACAGUUUGCAUAAAUGAUGACAGAUUCACUCAACGUUUGGGUUUCGUUUUCAUAAUACAUAAAUAUCAAUACAAGAUGUGUUCUAAGCAGUAAUUUGUAUUUCAAGAACAUUCUACUCAUACUAUUAACAAAACAAAAUAACUGUGUUAAUAAUAAACAAUUAAUAUUCAUU